Molecule: ribosomal RNA, 253 nt
Filed under: uncultured bacterium
Lineage: Bacteria
Description: partial 16S ribosomal RNA
Rfam family: Bacterial small subunit ribosomal RNA
Source: RNAcentral
UACGUAGGGACCAAGCGUUGUUCGGAUUUACUGGGCGUAAAGGGCGCGUAGGCGGCCAACUAAGUCGGACGUGAAAUCCCCAGGCUCAACCUGGGAACUGCGUCCGAUACUGGAAGGCUUGAAUCCGGGAGAGGGAUGCGGAAUUCCAGGUGUAGCGGUGAAAUGCGUAGAUAUCUGGAGGAACACCGGUGGCGAAGGCGGCAUCCUGGACCGGUAUUGACGCUGAGGCGCGAAAGCCAGGGGAGCAAACGGG